Molecule: ribosomal RNA, 253 nt
Filed under: uncultured bacterium
Lineage: Bacteria
Description: partial 16S ribosomal RNA
Rfam family: Bacterial small subunit ribosomal RNA
Source: RNAcentral
UACGUAGGGAGCGAGCGUUGUCCGGAAUGAUUGGGCGUAAAGGGCGUGUAGGCGGCCAUUUAAGUCUGGAGUGAAAUUCCUGCUUUCAAGGUGGGAACUGCUUUGGAAACUGGAUGGCUUGAGUAUGGGAGAGGUUAUCGGAAUUCCCGGUGUAGCGGUGAAAUGCGUAGAGAUCGGGAGGAACACCAGUGGCGAAGGCGGGUAACUGGACCAUAACUGACGCUGAGGCGCGAAAGUGUGGGGAGCAAACAGG